GAUGAAGAACGUAGCGAAAUGCGAUAAGUAAUGUGAAUUGCAGAAUUCAGUGAAUCAUCGAAUCUUUGAACGCACAUUGCGCCCGCUAGUAUUCUGGCGGGCAUGCCUGUCCGAGCGUCAUUUCAACCCUCAAGCCCCCGGGCUUGGUGUUGGGGAUCGGCGAGCCACCGCGCCCGCCGUCCCCUAAAUCUAGUGGCGGUCUCGCUGUAGCUUCCUCUGCGUAGUAGCACACCUCGCACUGGGAAACAGCGCGGCCACGCCGUUAAACCCCCAACUUCUGAACGUUUGACCUCGGAUCAGGUAGGAAUACCCGCUGAACUUAAGCAUAUCAAUAAGCGGAGGA
RNAcentral lists this unclassified non-coding RNA (343 nucleotides) under soil metagenome. Its description in RNAcentral is "partial contains 5.8S ribosomal RNA, internal transcribed spacer 2, and large subunit ribosomal RNA". The stretch from base 1 to 120 matches the Rfam family "5.8S ribosomal RNA", at positions 35 to 154 of the family's 154-position model. The record is from RNAcentral.